UACAUUUUAGUAUAUGAUGUACAGAGGUUUUUGAUGCUUCAAGAAACAGUUUAAUUCUGUUAAAUGUAA
This 69-nucleotide transfer RNA is filed under the name Necrodes littoralis. RNAcentral describes it as "tRNA-Gln". The record is from RNAcentral. Lineage: Eukaryota; Metazoa; Arthropoda; Insecta; Coleoptera; Silphidae.